AAUUCGACGCAACGCGAAGAACCUUACCUGGGCUCGAAGCGCAGUGGACCGGGGUGGAAACAUCCCUUUCCGCAAGGACUGCUGCGUAGGUGCUGCAUGGCUGUCGUCAGCUCGUGUCGUGAGAUGUCGGGUUAAGUCCCGCAACGAGCGCAACCCUUAUCACCAGUUGCCAUCACGUUAUGGUGGGCACUCUGGCGAAACCGCCCCGGAUAACGGGGAGGAAGGUGGGGAUGACGUCAAGUCCUCAUGGCCUUUAUGUCCAGGGCUACACACGUGCUACAACGGGUGGUACAAACCGUCGCAAACCCGCGAGGGGGAGCUAAUCGGAAAAAGCCAUCCUCAGUUCGGAUUAGAGUCUGCAACUCGACUCUAUGAAGCUGGAAUCGCUAGUAAUCGCAGAUCUGCACG
RNAcentral lists this ribosomal RNA (408 nucleotides) under uncultured Acidobacteriota bacterium. RNAcentral describes it as "bacterial SSU rRNA". It matches the Rfam family "Bacterial small subunit ribosomal RNA", at positions 948 to 1356 of the family's 1533-position model. Lineage: Bacteria; Pseudomonadati; Acidobacteriota. The record is from RNAcentral.